CCUACGGGUGGCAGCAGUGGGGAAUAUUGCACAAUGGGGGAAACCCUGAUGCAGCGACGCCGCGUGAGUGAAGAAGUAUUUCGGUAUGUAAAGCUCUAUCAGCAGGAACGUGACAAGACGGUCCCUUACUAAGAAGCCCCGGCUAACUACGUGCCAGCAGCCGCGGUCAUACGUAGGGGGCAAGCGUUAUCCGGAAUCACUGGGUGUAAAGGGAGCGUAGACGGGUGAGCAAGCCUGAAGUGAAAGGCUGGGGCCAAACCCCCAGACUGCUUGGGAAACUGUACGGCUGGAGUGCAGGAGAGGUAAGUGGAAUUCCUAGUGUAGCGGUGAAAUGCGUAGAUAUUAGGAGGAACACCAGUGGCGAAGGCGGCUUACUGAACUGUAACUGACGUUGAGGCUCGAAAGCGUGGGGAGCAAACAGGAUUAGAUACCCGAGUAGUC
Molecule: ribosomal RNA, 441 nt
Filed under: uncultured bacterium
Lineage: Bacteria
Description: partial 16S ribosomal RNA
Rfam family: Bacterial small subunit ribosomal RNA
Source: RNAcentral